UCCAGAUUUAGCGAUGAAGAUAUACCACGAUGGCAAUGUGUUUUCUGGAACGGUCCUUGAACGCGACGCGGGAGAAUCUCGCGAGGGAGAAUCUCAGAUGAAAACUUUCCGUAAAACGAACGCGAUCUUAUUUGGAUCUAAAUGCACCGCUAUAAAUAAUUAGACGGAGCUAUAGAAGGAGCUAUCUUAAUUUCUAAUGUGAUACCACAUUUAUGACGAUGAUACGUGUGUAUAAACGAGAUGAAUCUCCGUUCUUCCCCGGGAGGAAACCAUUACUCUUGGAAAUAGAUAAAAUGCGCGAUAGUAUUAAUCAUGCGAUGUAAAUGAAUCGCAAAGAAAAAAUUGAAUGCCUUUCUAAAUCGCUUAUUUGAUUAAAUUCGGUCAAGAAGCGGUCAAGGAGCUCCACUCCGAAACGGAUAUCCGUACACGAAAAGAAUAA
Long non-coding RNA from Pogonomyrmex barbatus (red harvester ant), 439 nucleotides. NCBI's taxonomy places the organism in Eukaryota, Metazoa, Arthropoda, Insecta, Hymenoptera, Formicidae. The record is from RefSeq and is a predicted model, not a curated record.